UACAGAGGGGGCAAGCGUUAUUCGGAAUUAUUGGGCGUAAAGGGCGCGUAGGCGGCCUGGCAAGUGGAUGGUGAAAUCCCUCGGCUUAACCGAGGAACUGCCAUCCAGACUGCUUGGCUUGAGACCGGGAGAGGUGAGUGGAAUUCCCAGUGUAGCGGUGAAAUGCGUAGAUAUCAGGAGGAACACCGGUGGCGAAGGCGGGUCUCUGGGCAGUAACUGACGCUGAGGAGCGAAAGCGUGGGGAGCGAACAGG
This 253-nucleotide ribosomal RNA is filed under the name uncultured bacterium. RNAcentral's name for it is "partial 16S ribosomal RNA". It matches the Rfam family "Bacterial small subunit ribosomal RNA", at positions 524 to 776 of the family's 1533-position model. The record is from RNAcentral.